CAGCAUGUUUCCAAGGACUGUGACUGGUUGUGGCCAGGGAUCGCCAAUUGCAUACAAGAGUAAUGUGAACAAACUUUGAUAGCUCAGGUCAACACAAUAACUUCAGCUGACACUCACCUUUCAUAUAACA
This 130-nucleotide small nucleolar RNA is filed under the name Chinchilla lanigera (long-tailed chinchilla). RNAcentral's name for it is "Small nucleolar RNA SNORA44 (ENSCLAG00000021437.1)". It matches the Rfam family "Small nucleolar RNA SNORA44". From Rfam's summary of the family: ACA44 is a member of the H/ACA class of snoRNA that guide the sites of modification of uridines to pseudouridines. Lineage: Eukaryota; Metazoa; Chordata; Mammalia; Rodentia; Chinchillidae. The record is from Rfam by way of RNAcentral.